RNAcentral lists this long non-coding RNA (201 nucleotides) under Elaeis guineensis (African oil palm). RNAcentral's name for it is "long non-coding RNA (EGUI_LNC048925)". The record is from RNAcentral. Lineage: Eukaryota; Viridiplantae; Streptophyta; Magnoliopsida; Arecales; Arecaceae.
GACUUCCCCAACAGCUGGAUUUCCACAGUGCUGACUGAAUUCCCCCGACGGACGAGCUCCCACUGCACCACCCGAGCUCCUUUAACAUGAGUUCCCCCAGUCAUCUAUUAAGCCGCCCCAAGUGCUCGCUGAGCUCCGCCGCCAGCCGACCUUCCACGACUAUCAGCUGUUCCCCGAAUCCCUUCCAGGCUUCUUCCAGCC